GUUCAAACGCUGGGCUCAGAGAUCGUGGCAGAGUCGGCCUUGUGUCUCUGUCAGUGCACACGGGUGUGGUGAGGGCCACCUAAGCCAGUGUGUGCGCGUGAGGACACUGGGGGGACCUACAUACCCAAAGGACCCGCGGUCGCGGCGCUGGGUCCCCUGUGAAGGACGUGGCCAGUUGGAGGCACUAAGUCUAGAAAUAGCCCCCCGUGAGCCGAUGUGUGAAGGAGUCUCCUCCAGUCGCACUAGAGACGCCUUUUUUGAAUAACGUAUUACGGCAGAGUCAGGUUUAUAAAGCCUUGGGGCGGUACGGAACAUGCUGCCUGUCCCCCGUCUGGGUCCAGCGUUUCUAUCCGAACGGAAACCAGCAGCUUCUGGGAGGAACAACCGUCAGAAGUAAACGCGGUCUGAAACGCACUAGGUAGUUACUAAGCAAGUGUGCAAACAAACCGUGUCUACAUUUGAGUACGAUUUCUACACAGAUAGUUUUCAGCGAUUAGAAUGCAGGAAAGGGCAGAAAUGUCAAACACACCUGAAGUCUUUUUACUUGUUAAGUUUCUUAUAAAGAAUCACCGAGGUGCAUGAUUCCUGUACGUACUGACCGCUCUACGUUUACAAAGCCAGCAGCCCACACAGGUCCCUGGCUACCUGUGCUCACGUGACGCGGUUGGGGAGCAGGGGGUAAAUAAAAGAUCUUGCUGAAAACCAGAGUGAAGUGGUAAAGCGGUCUGUUGGAGAGGUGACGUGGGACUUGGGCAGAGGCUCCGAGAGGGCCACUCGUUGCAGGCUCUUGGUUUCUGGAUCGUGUCACAGAGGCAGGCGGACCCCUAAUGGUGGUCACGUACUGGGAAUGAAGCAAGAGGUAGUUCUCAGUAAUGGGCACGGAGUGGGGAAAAGGAGCAGGUCCAUGGAAGGUUCUGGAACUGCAGGUGUCACUCUGGACAAAGAACAAGGACCGGGCUUCAGGAGAGCUGAGGAUUCGGGACUCGGUGCCAGGAACUUGCUCCCACGUCACCUUGCGCAAGUCAUGGAGCCUCUGGGAGCCUCAGUUUCCUUCACUGUAGAGACAGUGCCUGGCACGUGAAGCAGCGAGGUUGGUUCCCUUCCUGACAUAGCAGUGGUUCUAAGCAGUUACAGACAAACAGGUGAGGAGGAAGGAUGGGUGAGGAAGAGAUGGACGAACCCACCGGAUCGGUGGUAGAGGCGGCCGGGGAGCUGCGGCUUCUUUCUGUUGUCUGUGUCUAACCUCGGGGAGAAAGAAGCAGGGCCCUUGGUGGCUCUGUUUUGAACGUUUCCCCUUGUCUUAGAAGAAGGACAGGGAGUUCUGGUGGCCUGGAGCCCCAGGCGAUGCCUGGCUGCCAGGUGUUUUCAUAGCAAAGCUGGCCAGGCUGCCACAGCAGGUGGGAGGGAGGAGCACCGUGCGCGCUGGGCCACGAUAUUUCUCGCUCUCCUGAAGCGCGUGUUGCCAGCUAGGCAACUGCCAAAGUCAUUCACAUGUUGCAGCCGGGGAUGCCCAAGGUGAGAGAAGGGAGGCAGCAUGCCUGCCCAGCUUCGAACGGGAAGCCCUGCCUUCCACCCAGAGGCAGCCUGCCUCGGCUGCAAGGCCGGAUCGGUGACUCAGUUUGACAAGGUCCCCUCCCAGGUCUGCCAGGCACCUGCUCAUCAUCCCCCGAAGUCGCCUAGAUUGUCUGGUUCUGAGUCCUGCUUUGCUGACAGCAGCCACCCUUGCAGCAUUGAGUAGUGCCCUGCAGCGUGUGGGGGGGGAGGAGAAGGGUAGUCCUCACCCACUGGCUCUGGACUUUGGCUGCACAGUACAAUCACCCAGGGAGCUUUUGAGAAACACUGACGCUCACACCCUGCCCCCAAGGCAUCUCAGUUCUUUGGCCAGGUCUCGGUAUUUGUUUCAACUCAUUUCCUGGGCUGACUCUAAUGUGUAGCUGGAGCUGAGGGUCGAUGCCCUGAGCAGCAAAAAUGGCAAGGCCUUUGAAAUCAGCCAGCUGGAGGUUCAAGGCUCAGCUGUGCCCCUGUGUGAUACUGGGAUAGGCCACCUAACCUUGGCCUCUAGGGGAUGGUCACUGUUUCAACACUCUCCUCCAGCAGUACUCGGACGAGCCUCUUGCAAGACCGUCACAUUCCCCUUUCUCAGUCCUUGGAUUUCCAGGACCUGACCCAGCCCCAGCUGCAGGGCUAGGCACAUGACCCACACCUGACCAGUCACCAGAGCCUUCCAGACUCCUGGGUACUAAGGGCUGGGCACAUGAUCCAAGUGCUCUCCUGGGACCAUUGAGAAAGAGAGGCUACUUUUCGAGGGAUGGGAGUGGGGGAUCCAGUGUAAGAAAAUCUGAGAGUGAAACCCACAGAGGAGAGCAGGUCUCUCAUCUUGUGGAGAUCAUGAGUCCUAAUAUAGCUUUGCCUGGAACCAGCCCUACCUCUGGACUUUUCCGUACAUGAGCCAAUAAACUCCCUUUUAACUCU
RNAcentral lists this long non-coding RNA (2472 nucleotides) under Phocoena sinus (vaquita). Its description in RNAcentral is "lncRNA (ENSPSNG00000012129.1)". The record is from RNAcentral. Lineage: Eukaryota; Metazoa; Chordata; Mammalia; Artiodactyla; Phocoenidae.